AAUUGAAUUGCAAAGUGCGAAAAGUGCUGGUGUAUUUAUUGCACCCCUGCUCUGUGGGGCUAAGAUUUACUAUUGGAGUUCAGCAGCUUGACGUAAGUUGGAAUCAACAAUAACUUUAGUAUUUUUGUUUUACGUCUCGGAACACAGAAGCUUCUCCCUGAGGGCAGAAGUUCAUAUUCAGGAAAGAGAGGAUGUAGAGAGUCUGCAGUUACUCUUUUGGCUUGUUUUCUGACAGCUUGCUCGUACAGGCGCUGUAUGGGCUUUUACUCUUU
Long non-coding RNA from Etheostoma spectabile (orangethroat darter), 272 nucleotides. RefSeq lists it as uncharacterized. Lineage: Eukaryota; Metazoa; Chordata; Actinopteri; Perciformes; Percidae. The transcript is spliced from 3 exons. The record is from RefSeq and is a predicted model, not a curated record.